RNAcentral lists this long non-coding RNA (3514 nucleotides) under Canis lupus familiaris (dog). RNAcentral describes it as "lncRNA (ENSCAFG00040006639.1)". The record is from RNAcentral. Lineage: Eukaryota; Metazoa; Chordata; Mammalia; Carnivora; Canidae.
CUGCCCCGGCCUCCUCCUGCCGUGUCAACCUCCGCCGUCCGUCCCGUCCGUCUUCCACGCUCUGUGUUUUCUCCGCAGCUCGUGCUGCCGACACCACAUACAUUUUCUUUACUUGUGACGUGUCGCCCGCUGGCACGACCGCUCCAGGGGAGCAGGGACUGCUGUGCUUUUCUUUUCCAGCUGCCACCCGCCGAGUCUCCGGCACACGGUGCUCAAUAAAUACUCGUUUGCGCGGAGGAGCGAGCGGGUCCCCAGUCCCGCCCGGUGUGAACGGAUCGGGUUCCCCACAGCGACCCCGUCACCCCGGGGUGGAUGGCGCGGGGCGCACCGCAGAGACCCCAGCCAGCAGAUGGGCUCCGAGUGCGAGGAGGUGCUCCAGGUCCUUAAGGAGAACGUGAAAGAAAGUUGUUGGGCCAACGCGAAUUUAUGUUUCCAUAAGCCGCCGGAAAAGGUGGUUAAAUCUCUGAUAACAUUUAACUUAUCAGUUAAAUCACGUGCGUCUAUUGAAAGCUCGUAUGUGAAGUCGGAUGCGCUGGUUUGGGAUGUGAUUUUCCACCCGGUGCAUCUCAUGACGUUAUUUCCCCCCAUCGGGGCAGCAGGGGCAGCGGGGAGGGCGGCGCCACGGAGCACCCGGGGCAGCAGAGCCCCCAGCGGGGAACAGAAGGGGUCCUGGGGGGCUCUCCUGGCUUCCCCGCCCACGGGGGGCAGACAAGGCUGGAUUCAGGGCCCCGGCAGGCUCAGCGGGUUGGGGAGGGCGGGCAGCCCGGGAAUCUGCCCCUUAAACAGGAGCCUCUGAGAUAAAUGGGAACAACCAGAGGAAGCAAGAGGGCGGCGGGUCAGCUCAUCGGGGUCACGGCGUCGGAGGCUGACCGAGCCUCCAGGCCCCGUCUCCUCUUCCCUCCCAGACGUGGGGCUGCAGCGAAACCCGGAAGGCUGGGAAUCAUCCAGAGCUGAGUUCAAAUCCUGCUCUGCCGCUGACUAGUUAUAUGACCUCGGGCCAGGGACCGAACCUCUGCCGGUUGCUCCUUUUGUAAAACGAGGACAGUAACGUCUACCUUCCGAGGUUGCUGUGGACGUGACAUAUUCACGGUGAGCACCCACGAGGCUCAGCCCGACCGGGCGCUUCCUGCACGCCCCUAACUAACUCCUCGUCUCUUACAGAUGAGGAAGGUGAAGUGCAGGGGGUCAGCCGAGUCCCGCCGGGGCACACAGCCAGCAAGUGCCAGAGCCGGGGUGUGAACACAGGCUCCAGGACGCCUGCUCAGAACCCACACGUUCCAUACAAGAUGACGCGAGCGCCUCACACAUCGCACGCGACACGCAGAGAAACGCCAGCUGGGACCGUCCUGCCCGAAUCUUACCAACGAGAUACUUGGGAGAACGAUUCUGGGGGACGAGCACCGGGGGGGCCGCCCCGGACGAGAGGGAGCGUGUUCUCUGAUUCUCUUGACCCACCGUGAGAGGGAGACGGCCCCGGUCCGCGGGCUGCGUGGCGCACAGCUACGGGCACUGCCUUGUUGUUGCUCUCGGCCGCGCCUCCCGCUGAGCGCCGGCUCUGGCUCCGGUGUGCGGGGAGGAGGCCGAGACUCCGAGAACUCGGGCAGCGCGCCCCCCUCACCUGGCACGGCUGUGAGCGGACUCGGGGCUCUGGCCGCAGCCCCCACGCUCCGCAGGCCCUAGUAUCCGCGGACCGACGUGGCCGGGGUCACGGGCGCCUGGGCGGCUCAGCGGGUGAAGCGUCCGACUUCCGAUCUCAGCUCGGGUCAUGACCUCGAGGUGGUGGGAUCGAGCUCCACGCUGGGCUCACACGCUGGGCGUGGGGGCUGCUUGGGUUCUCUCUCUCUCAAAAAAAAAAAAUAAAUAAAAAGCUUUGGAAGGACCGUGAUCACAGACCCAGCAGAACGAAGGACGGGAGAGGGUGAGCCUUGCAUCCUGACGUCCCUGAGCCACGUUGUCCUUAUCUGUAGCAGAGAGAGGGCUAUUCUCCAAGGGCCUGUGGCGAAGAUUGAAGAGGAGGGUGCAGAAGAAGUGCCUGGUACGGGGCUUGUCACACAGCGAGUGCUCAGCAAACAUCGACUGUGCUCAUUAUCAGGGGACGAGUAAGUGUAAAGGAGGGACGAUGAGGAGGUGGAGGUGGUGGGGGGGGAAGACGGGAGGGAAGAGACGUGGGGGAGGAGGAGCAGUGGGGCUGGCAGGGCGGAGGGGGACAGGCGCCAGCCCGGCUCCCCAAGCUCGGCCCGCCAGGCUACCCGCCCAGGCUGCGCCCCCAGGGCCGUCGGGCGGUUCACGCCGCCCUGCUGCAGCCUGAGGCACCCCCGCCCCACGGGGCCCUGGGUGCCGGCGAGAACGGCUGUCCCCGACGCGCCCAGCUGCAGAACGAGGACUCAGGGGGCCGGGAAGGACACGGAAGCCUCGGAGCCACGGCCCCAGCGACUGUGCUGUCGGGAGGCAGCCACCGCUGUGGUCGCCGGCCCCGCGCCUUAACCUCCUCCCGGGUGAGAGCGCGGAGUCGGCCGCGUCGGGUGUCGGGGGGAUGGCAGUCGUGCAGCCAGCGGCCCCUGCGUCCAGGCCUGGGGGCCAGGGGUGACGCCGCCCCCCGGGGCCCGGGGACUGUCCUGCCACGUCGCAGGAUGGCCCUGCUCGUCUCCGCGGGGGAAUGGCAUCAGACACGGCCACUCUCAGAUUGGAACGGGGACCGCCUUGGCCUGCGCCCUUGGAGGUCGGGGGGCUCCGAGGGAGGCGGUGACUCCCCCUGGGGAGAGCGCGGAGCUUCGCUUGGUUGUGUUUGUGACCCGGGAAGAGACCCAGGCGGCGCCGUGGAGGGCUCGGGGUGGGCGCCCCACGGGGACCUAGCUCGUGCCGGGCAGCAGAGUGCGACACAUUAAUGUGCCACCUCUGACGCCAGGCACAUCUCCGUCACGGACUCUUCUGUGACCUCAACCACGUCCCUCACCUCUCCGACCCUCAGUUUCUCCAUCUGAAAAAUGGGAACGAUUAACGUGGUAACGAAUCCCACUGCCGGGAGCCGAGCCUCAAUCUCCUCACCUGGGAAUGAGGAUGGUGCAGGCCCGUCCCCCGGGCGGGUGUGAGUUUAGAGGAAGUAACGCGUCCGCGGGGCCUGGCACCCGACACACGGCAGCCGUUCAUUAUCAAUGAUGCUAAAGCUGCCGGUAGCCUCCCUCGCUGCCUGCAAGGUGCCCGAACGCCCGAGCGCUGCUGGUCCCUCCGCAGCCCCUCAUUCCAGCCCAAGGCCCCGACCACAGAGCCCUCUGGCCGGGCCUCGCCCCCUCCGCCCCACGCCGGGUGUCCCGGAGCAGGGCCGUGCGCUUCUCCAGCUGGGGGGAAGCCAGAGGAGCUCUUUCCUGCCGUCACGGCUGCGGCCCAGAUGGAGGCUGGCGGGCAGGGUUAACGCUGGCUCGGCUCCCGGCGCCAGUGGGCCAGCCAGGCCGACCGAGGCAAGGGGAGGCGCCGGCCAACUCGUGCCAGGAAGCUGAGGCCAGAGGGACAUGGGGUC